ACCUAAAAUCUAGCCCGACCACCAACGCUUAACGACCCUUAUUAAUAAGUUUGAAAUAGCCUAAGAGGAAUAUCUAAAACAUUUUUCCGCUUAAGUAUGGGAGACAGAAAAAGAAGAAGGAGCUAUAGAAAAAGUACCGCAAGGGAAUGCUGAAAGAGAGAUGAAAUAGAAAAUAAGUAACAGAAAGCAGAGAUACCCCCUCGUACCUUUUGCAUUAUGAGUUAGCCAGAAUAAGUGCGCAAGGUGAACCAUAGCUCGCCCCCCCGAAACUAAGUGAGCUACCCCAGGACAGCCUAUUUAGAGCUAACCCGUCUCUGUGGCAAAAGAGUGGGAAGAUCCUCGGGUAGAAGUGACAGACUUACCGGACUUAGUUAUAGCUGGUUGCCUAGAAAAUGGAUAGGAGUCCAGCCUCCCCCCUUCUUCUCUCAAAAAGCAAAUUUUUUCUUAUCUGAUUAAAAGAAGGGAGGAGAGUCAUUUGAAUGGGGAACAGCCCCUUUAAAUAAGGAUACAACCUUACUGGGAGGAUAAAGAUUAUGAUUAACAAGAGUUUAACCCUAGUGGGCUUAGAAGCGGCCAUCUAAGAAGAAAGCGUCAAAGCUCGAGAAAAUACACCCCUCCAAUAUACCAAUAACACGUCUGAAACCCCUAAGGAAUACUAGGCCUUUCCACAUCUGUGGAAGAGAACAUGCUAAUAUGAGUAACAAGAAAGAUCUUAGGAUUUCUCCUAGCACAAGUGUAAAUCAGAACAGACAUCCCGCUGAGAAUUAACGGACCCAAAAAAGAGGGAACUGCCAGAUAGACUUUACUGGAAAAAUCCGCAGCCCCACCCGUUAACCCCACACUGGAGCGCUUAAAGGAAAGACUAAAAGGAAGGGAAGGAACUCGGCAAAACAAGCCCCGCCUGUUUACCAAAAACAUGGCCUCUUGCAACCCAAGAAUAAGAGGUCCAGCCUGCCCGGUGACUAUAUGUUCAACGGCCGCGGUAUUUUAACCGUGCUAAGGUAGCGUAAUCACUUGUCUUUUAAUUGGAGACCUGUAUGAAGGGCACCACGAGGGCUUAACUGUCUCCCCUCCCCAGUCAGUGAAAUUGAUCUCCCCGUGCAAAAGCGAGGAUGAAUACAUAAGACGAGAAGACCCUGUGGAGCUUAAGACAACAGCAGCCCAUUGAAUAGACCUCAAUUAAGAGGGUGUACCCUAGUGUCAACCUGCUUAGCGUCUUCGGUUGGGGUGACCAUGGGGAACACAAAACCCCCAAGAGGAGUGGAGGCCUAGCAGGAAUUCCCAGCAAACAACACCCAGACCUCCAAAGACUAGGGGCACGCCCCAAGUCAACGAAAAAUUCGACCUAGAAUGAUCCGGACUACCCGAUUAACGAACCAAGUUACCCCAGGGAUAACAGCGCUAUCCCCUUCUAGAGUCCUUAUCGACAAGGGGGCUUACGACCUCGAUGUUGGAUCAGGACAUCCUAAUGGUGUAGCCGCUAUUAAGGGUUCGUUUGUUCAACGAUUAAAGUCCUACGUGAUCUGAGUUCAGACCGGAGAGAUCCAGGUCGGUUUCUAUCUAUGAAGGCAUUUCCUCCUAGUACGAAAGGACCGAAGGAAACAGGCCUAUGCUUUUAGCAAGCCUGACCCCUACCUGAUGAAACCAAAUUAAUCAGCCAAGGGGCUACAUUACACCCACUUAGAUAAUAGUGA
This 1694-nucleotide ribosomal RNA is filed under the name Asterorhombus intermedius (intermediate flounder). Its description in RNAcentral is "16S ribosomal RNA". It matches the Rfam family "Bacterial large subunit ribosomal RNA". Lineage: Eukaryota; Metazoa; Chordata; Actinopteri; Pleuronectiformes; Bothidae. The record is from RNAcentral.